AGGACUAUAGGUUUCGUAGUGACCUGCGGAAGGAUCAUUACUGAAUUGUCAACAAGGGUUGUUGCUGGCCUCCAUACGGGGGCAUGUGCACGCUCUGUUUACAUAUCCACUCACACCUGUGCACCCUCUGUAGUUCUAUGGCCUGGGAGGCUCUGUCCUCCUGCUGUGGUUCUACGUCUUUACAUACACACCGCAAUGAAGUCUCAUGGAAUGGAUGUCGCGUUUAACGCAAUUAAAUACAACUUUCAGCAACGGAUCUCUUGGCUCUCGCAUCGAUGAAGAACGCAGCGAAAUGCGAUAAGUAAUGUGAAUUGCAGAAUUCAGUGAAUCAUCGAAUCUUUGAACGCACCUUGCGCCCUUUGGCUAUUCCGAAGGGCAUGCCUGUUUGAGUAUCAUGAACACCUCAACUCUCAUGGCUUGCCAUGAUGAGCUUGGACUUUGGGGGUCUUGCUGGCCUGUGGACCAGCUCCUCUCAAAUGAAUUAGCUUUCCAGUGUUUGGUGGCAUCACAGGUGUGAUAACUAUCUACGCUUGUGGUUUUCCACCAGGUAACCUUCGGCAGCGGAGGUUCACUGGGGCUCAUAAAUGUCUCUCCUUAGCAGGGACAGGUUUUGACCAUUUGAUCUCAAAUCAGGUAGGA
Molecule: ribosomal RNA, 639 nt
Filed under: uncultured Tomentella
Lineage: Eukaryota; Fungi; Basidiomycota; Agaricomycetes; Thelephorales; Thelephoraceae
Description: eukaryotic LSU rRNA
Rfam family: 5.8S ribosomal RNA (bases 241-395)
Source: RNAcentral